RNAcentral lists this transfer RNA (87 nucleotides) under Thermotomaculum hydrothermale. RNAcentral's name for it is "tRNA-Leu". It matches the Rfam family "tRNA". Rfam says of the family: Transfer RNA (tRNA) molecules are approximately 80 nucleotides in length. Their secondary structure includes four short double-helical elements and three loops (D, anti-codon, and T loops). Further hydrogen bonds mediate the characteristic L-shaped molecular structure. tRNAs have two regions of fundamental functional importance: the anti-codon, which is responsible for specific mRNA codon recognition, and the 3' end, to which the tRNAs corresponding amino acid is attached (by aminoacyl-tRNA synthetases). tRNAs cope with the degeneracy of the genetic code in two manners: having more than one tRNA (with a specific anti-codon) for a particular amino acid; and 'wobble' base-pairing, i.e. permitting non-standard base-pairing at the 3rd anti-codon position. Lineage: Bacteria; Pseudomonadati; Acidobacteriota; Holophagae; Thermotomaculales; Thermotomaculaceae. The record is from RNAcentral.
GCUCAAGUGGCGGAAUUGGCAGACGCGCACGGUUCAGGUCCGUGUGGGGUCAAACCCGUGGGGGUUCGAAUCCCCCCUUGAGCACCA